AUUGAACGCUGGCGGCAUGCCUUACACAUGCAAGUCGAACGGUAACAGGUCUUCGGAUGCUGACGAGUGGCGAACGGGUGAGUAAUACAUCGGAACGUGCCUAGUAGUGGGGGAUAACUACUCGAAAGAGUGGCUAAUACCGCAUGAGAUCUACGGAUGAAAGCAGGGGAUCGCAAGACCUUGUGCUACUAGAGCGGCCGAUGGCAGAUUAGGUAGUUGGUGGGAUAAAAGCUUACCAAGCCGACGAUCUGUAGCUGGUCUGAGAGGACGAUCAGCCACACUGGGACUGAGACACGGCCCAGACUCCUACGGGAGGCAGCAGUGGGGAAUUUUGGACAAUGGGCGCAAGCCUGAUCCAGCAAUGCCGCGUGCAGGAUGAAGGCCUUCGGGCUGUAAACUGCUUUUGUACGGAACGAAAAGCCCUGGGUUAAUACCCUGGGGUCAUGACGGUACCGUAAGAAUAAGCACCGGCUACUACGUGCCAGCCGCCGCCGUAA
RNAcentral lists this ribosomal RNA (497 nucleotides) under uncultured bacterium. RNAcentral describes it as "partial 16S ribosomal RNA". It matches the Rfam family "Bacterial small subunit ribosomal RNA", at positions 30 to 523 of the family's 1533-position model. The record is from RNAcentral.